UACGUAGGAGGCAAGCGUUGUCCGGAAUUACUGGGCGUAAAGAGCUCGUAGGUGGUUUGUCGCGUUGUUCGUGAAAACUCACAGCUCAACUGUGGGCGUGCGGGCGAUACGGGCAGACUGGAGUACUGCAGGGGAGACUGGAAUUCCUGGUGUAGCGGUGAAAUGCGUAGAUAUCAGGAGGAACACCGGUGGUGUAAACGGCUUUCUGGACCAUAACUGACACUGAGGCACGAAAGCGUGGGUAGCAAACAGG
This 253-nucleotide ribosomal RNA is filed under the name uncultured bacterium. Its description in RNAcentral is "partial 16S ribosomal RNA". It matches the Rfam family "Bacterial small subunit ribosomal RNA", at positions 524 to 776 of the family's 1533-position model. The record is from RNAcentral.